RNAcentral lists this ribosomal RNA (497 nucleotides) under uncultured bacterium. RNAcentral's name for it is "partial 16S ribosomal RNA". It matches the Rfam family "Bacterial small subunit ribosomal RNA", at positions 28 to 507 of the family's 1533-position model. The record is from RNAcentral.
GAUGAACGCUGGCGGCGUGCCUAAUACAUGCAAGUCGAGCGAACAGACGAGGAGCUUGCUCCUCUGACGUUAGCGGCGGACGGGUGAGUAACACGUGGAUAACCUACCUAUAAGACUGGGAUAACUUCGGGAAACCGGAGCUAAUACCGGAUAAUAUAUUGAACCGCAUGGUUCAAUAGUGAAAGACGGUUUUGCUGUCACUUAUAGAUGGAUCCGCGCCGCAUUAGCUAGUUGGUAAGGUAACGGCUUACCAAGGCAACGAUGCGUAGCCGACCUGAGAGGGUGAUCGGCCACACUGGAACGGAGACACGGACCAGACUCCUACGGGAGGCAGCAGUAGGGAAUCGUACGCAAUGGGCGAAAGCCUGACGGAGCAACGCCGCGUGAGUGAUGAAGGUCUUCGGAGCGUAAAACUCUGUUAUUAGGGAAGAACAAAUGUGUAAGUAACUAUGCACGUCUUGACGGUACCUAAUCAGAAAGCCACGGCUAACUACGUG